UUGAUCCCAAGCACUCCAGGCAGGGUCAGAAAAGGAUCCAGUUCAAAGUUCUGGAGAUUCAUGGCUGUUAGUGUCAAAAAAGGCAAGAUGGGAUGGGCCAUAGGUCUGACUCAGCCAUUUUCAACAGGAGGGCCUUGGUACAUUUCAAAGGGGGGGGCACAGACUAAAAAAAUGUGGGAAAUUUAAAAAAAAAUCUGUUUGUAUUGAAUCCUUGAUUUUCAGGGGGCUCUGGAACCUGGAAGCUCUUCGGAAAAAAAUUGAGAACGGCUGGUUUGUUUUAGUAAAUUAAGAAUCUGACACAGGAAAACCUGCCAGAGAGAAAAAGUAGCUUCCCCCACAUCAGGCUCACCCAACCACUGGCUGGCUUGAUGGUCUUCUAGCUCUAAAUUGGACAUAAGGAAGAUGACGGUAUCUAAGCUGCAUUGCUUCUCAUCCAUUUAGGAUUUGACAGGUCACCACUGCCUUAUCAGUUGUCUCCCUAUUUCAGAAUUUUGAUGCCGUGUACUCCUGGGAGUCGAGCUUCUGCAAGGAGUGAAGGUUGUCAUGUUUUGCCUCAGCUGACGUAUUCAAAGAGUUUUCCAAGGUUUCCACACAGAGAAUGGAAAACAGCCCUGACUCUCCUGUAAAGAAAACAUAGGCUCCUAUAAGUUCUGCUCCAAAUAGACUAUUUCUUUUUUAAAAAAUAAUCUUAAAGAUUUGCAUGAGAAAAGACCCAACGUUGGAAACAUUGUUUGCUUUGGACUAAAACGGCCAGGCAUCCUGCAGCCCCAGCAGCUUGGCCUGGGGAUCCUGUAAGGGUUGUCAUCUAUAAAAGUGACUCUUCUAAGGGAGAGAUAUGAAAUGGUAAAGGAAAAUCUUGCAAUGAAUUAAUGUCGCUGAUUUCAGCGAGACCGAAGGAUUUGCAAAAGUGCAAAGAGAGGUUGUCUGAAUCCUUCUUAAAGUGUGGUGUCCAUGUAAGUACAAAGGACAUUUCAAUUACUCCUCCGCCUCCCUUGUACUUGUGAAUCAUUGCUGCAGAGAAGCUCUUGGAAGAUAUUGUUCAAAAUGCAUUUGGCCUGCAAUAAAUAAACUAUUUUCCUCA
RNAcentral lists this long non-coding RNA (1081 nucleotides) under Pogona vitticeps (central bearded dragon). RNAcentral describes it as "lncRNA (ENSPVIG00000005337.1)". The record is from RNAcentral. Lineage: Eukaryota; Metazoa; Chordata; Lepidosauria; Squamata; Agamidae.